RNAcentral lists this long non-coding RNA (1057 nucleotides) under Marmota monax (woodchuck). The record is from RNAcentral. Lineage: Eukaryota; Metazoa; Chordata; Mammalia; Rodentia; Sciuridae.
AAUAAUUCUCACUUAUUAAUUUGUCACCUGCCCAAUGUUUGUAACUGCCUUUUGGUGACUCUAGGUGGCUUUUCAUUCAUGACAGCCAUGAAGGGACCCCCACACUGCUUCCUAAAGUCACCAUUCUCUUCAAGGACAAGCCUCCUUGUCCCUGAGCUCCGAAACUCCGAAGGGCUGGGAGCUUCGGGGAUGGUCAGAGAUCUCAAUCUUGAUGAGAAAUUCCUUGUCACCGACAACUUGCCAUAAAGCAGGGCCGUUUUCCCAGAGGGGCUGGUAAAAAUACACACACAUUAGUAAAGUAAAGCCAGGGGAAGAUACUGCCAGGUCGGGCCGUCCAGUCCAGUCGAAAUGUUUGUGCACGCCAGACACCGUGUCUGGCUACCUCGAGGGAGGGUCCAUGUUUGGUCUGGGAAAACAGUUCCAUGUUUACCACCAGGGAAGGCCCAUGGGUGAGUAACAAUGACCAGGCCCCAACUGCCAGGAAGAGCCUCCUUUCUAAAUGACUGUCUCAUUAGGUUGAAUGGGAGCGUUUUUUUUUCAGCCUGUGACCCUGAGAUAGAGCAGCCCAAACAGCUGUUCCUGUCAGAGGGUGGCACCUAAGUCUGUGAACCCAGAGUCCUUCUGUGGAUUUGCCACUCAGUGGAAGGAAGGCGGCCACCCACUUUGGUGGUGCCGUGGCCAUUGUCAAGAGUGUCCUUCCGUUUCUUUCCUCGGGGUGUCUUUAGGGGGCCUUCUGCCACUUGUGGGGGAUUGCUUAGCACAUUCCAGUGGGCUUCCCGAUAUGUUCUCACUUUUCCAAUUGAAGAUAUUUUUUGACAGAAACAUCCAAGAGGGAAGUGUCGCAUGCUGGCGGAGAAGUACCAAUUACAGAAAAACCAGUGCUGGUCAGCAUGUGGGUAAUUAUUUAUCUCAGCUUUCUGUAAUAGGAGGGGCAUUUUAUUCAAGCCAGGCAGAAAUCUGGCCGUUUCCCAGUUGUGAAAUUCUAUUGACAAAGGUGUUAAACGAAGGGCAGGGUAACGUGGUAUGCGAGGCCUUCAUCUCGGUGACCUGGGCCUGU